UGUGUCAUAAAAAUUCUACAUUAAAUUGGCAUUAAAUCAUAGGAUAUCUAUUUGAGAAAUAAAAGCAAUGCAUAUUAGUUAAGAGCCUUCUUUAAGAAGGACUCUCCAUUUCACAUGCCAAAUUGAGGUGGGUGGCAUUUAUUUUUUGUCAUAGCUUCUGGUGAGUAUAGAUGAGUCCUUCUCCACUUGAAACUAUGUUAAGUUGGAUAAGGAUCCAAUCUAAAUUGACCCAAUCCCAUU
This 240-nucleotide long non-coding RNA is filed under the name Elaeis guineensis (African oil palm). RNAcentral's name for it is "long non-coding RNA (EGUI_LNC065087)". The record is from RNAcentral. Lineage: Eukaryota; Viridiplantae; Streptophyta; Magnoliopsida; Arecales; Arecaceae.